CCUACGGGCGGCAGCAGUGAGGAAUAUUGGUCAAUGGACGAGAGUCUGAACCAGCCAAGUAGCGUGAAGGAUGACUGCCCUAUGGGUUGUAAACUUCUUUUAUAUGGGAAUAAAAUGUUCCACGUGUGGGAUUUUGUAUGUACCCUAUGAAUAAGGAUCGGCUAACUCCGUGCCAGCAGCCGCGGUAAUACGGAGGAUCCGAGCGUUAUCCGGAUUUAUUGGGUUUAAAGGGAGCGUAGGUGGAUUGUUAAGUCAGUUGUGAAAGUUUGCGGCUCAACCGUAAAAUUGCAGUUGAAACUGGCAGUCUUGAGUACAGUAGAGGUGGGCGGAAUUCGUGGUGUAGCGGUGAAAUGCUUAGAUAUCACGAAGAACUCCGAUUGCGAAGGCAGUUCACUGGACUGCAACUGACACUGAGGCUCGAAAGUGUGGGUAUCAAACAGGAUUAGAUACCCGUGUAGUC
This 460-nucleotide ribosomal RNA is filed under the name uncultured bacterium. RNAcentral's name for it is "partial 16S ribosomal RNA". It matches the Rfam family "Bacterial small subunit ribosomal RNA", at positions 338 to 795 of the family's 1533-position model. The record is from RNAcentral.